AUUGAACGCUGGCGGCAGGCUUAACACAUGCAAGUCGAGCGGGGGAAGGUAGCUUGCUACCGGACCUAGCGGCGGACGGGUGAGUAAUGCUUAGGAAUCUGCCUAUUAGUGGGGGACAACAUCUCGAAAGGGAUGCUAAUACCGCAUACGUCCUACGGGAGAAAGCAGGGGAUCUUCGGACCUUGCGCUAAUAGAUGAGCCUAAGUCGGAUUAGCUAGUUGGUGGGGUAAAGGCCUACCAAGGCGACGAUCUGUAGCGGGUCUGAGAGGAUGAUCCGCCACACUGGGACUGAGACACGGCCCAGACUCCUACGGGAGGCAGCAGUGGGGAAUAUCGGACAAUGGGGGGAACCCUGAUCCAGCCAUGCCGCGUGUGUGAAGAAGGCCUUGUGGUUGUAAAGCACUUUAAGCGAGGAGGAGGCUACUUUAGUUAAUACCUAGAGAUAGUGGACGUUACUCGCAGAAUAAGCACCGGCUAACUCUGUGCCAGCCGCCGCCGUAA
RNAcentral lists this ribosomal RNA (501 nucleotides) under uncultured bacterium. Its description in RNAcentral is "partial 16S ribosomal RNA". It matches the Rfam family "Bacterial small subunit ribosomal RNA", at positions 30 to 523 of the family's 1533-position model. The record is from RNAcentral.